Molecule: ribosomal RNA, 253 nt
Filed under: uncultured bacterium
Lineage: Bacteria
Description: partial 16S ribosomal RNA
Rfam family: Bacterial small subunit ribosomal RNA
Source: RNAcentral
UACGUAGGGUGCGAGCGUUGUCCGGAAUUAUUGGGCGUAAAGAGCUCGUAGGCGGUUUGUCGCGUCUGCUGUGAAAACCCGAGGCUCAACCUCGGGCCUGCAGUGGGUACGGGCAGACUAGAGUGCGGUAGGGGAGAUUGGAAUUCCUGGUGUAGCGGUGGAAUGCGCAGAUAUCAGGAGGAACACCAAUGGCGAAGGCAGAUCUCUGGGCCAUUACUGACGCUGAGGAGCGAAAGCGUGGGGAGCGAACAGG